UAAAGACGCCAGUCAGGAAGUAUGUUGGAAGCCAAUGGGAAGUGGUUAGUUUCCCAGACUUCCUGAAGGCUCUGUCCUAGCGAGCUUCCCCUGUGGGCUGGCCCAAGAGGAGGAGUGACAGGGCUUCUCCAUAUGGAAGCAGCCCACACGCACUUAAAAUGAAAGUCAGCGAUGUCUCGAUUUAUCAAGAUUCAACCGCGAUUUCAUCAGUAUAGAAAGCUGCUAAUGACUGAUAUAAAUCAGCAUCUUCCCUGUAACCUAAACAUCUCAUCUUACAGAUGAAGAAAGUGGACAGGGCUGGAAAGAUGCAAGCAUCAUUGGGUGUCCUUGAAGGUGCAAACCUGAAGCAUCUGGAGCCAGAUGAAUCGUCCAGAUGUGCGAUGGAUCAUUCAUGCACUUUGUAGCACACCAUAA
RNAcentral lists this long non-coding RNA (414 nucleotides) under Phascolarctos cinereus (koala). Its description in RNAcentral is "lncRNA (ENSPCIG00000027830.2)". Lineage: Eukaryota; Metazoa; Chordata; Mammalia; Diprotodontia; Phascolarctidae. The record is from RNAcentral.